UACGUAGGGUGCGAGCGUUAAUCGGAAUUACUGGGCGUAAAGCGUGCGCAGGCGGUGAUGUAAGACAGAUGUGAAAUCCCCGGGCUCAACCUGGGAACUGCAUUUGUGACUGCAUCGCUGGAGUGCGGCAGAGGGGGAUGGAAUUCCGCGUGUAGCAGUGAAAUGCGUAGAUAUGCGGAGGAACACCGAUGGCGAAGGCAGUCCCCUGGGCCUGUACUGACGCUCAUGCACGAAAGCGUGGGGAGCAAACAGG
RNAcentral lists this ribosomal RNA (253 nucleotides) under uncultured bacterium. RNAcentral's name for it is "partial 16S ribosomal RNA". It matches the Rfam family "Bacterial small subunit ribosomal RNA", at positions 524 to 776 of the family's 1533-position model. The record is from RNAcentral.